GGCCAGCAGCCGCGGUAAUACGGAGGGUGCAAGCGUUAUCCGGAUUCACUGGGUUUAAAGGGUGCGUAGGUGGGUUGGUAAGUCAGUGGUGAAAUCUCCAGGCUUAACUUGGAAACUGCCAUUGAUACUAUCAAUCUUGAAUACCGUGGAGGUCAGCGGAAUAUGUCAUGUAGCGGUGAAAUGCUUAGAUAUGACAUAGAACACCAAUUGCGAAGGCAGCUGGCUACGCGGAUAUUGACACUGAUGCACGAAAGCGUGGGGAUCAAACAGGAUUAGAUACCCUGGUAGUCCACGCCCUAAACGAUGGAUACUCGACAUACGCGAUAUACAGUGUGUGUCUGAGCGAAAGCAUUAAGUAUCCCACCUGGGAAGUACGAUCGCAAGAUUGAAACUCAAAGGAAUUGACGGGGGCCCGCACA
RNAcentral lists this ribosomal RNA (419 nucleotides) under uncultured bacterium. Its description in RNAcentral is "bacterial SSU rRNA". It matches the Rfam family "Bacterial small subunit ribosomal RNA", at positions 506 to 927 of the family's 1533-position model. The record is from RNAcentral.